UACGUAGGGGGCAAGCGUUGUCCGGAUUUAUUGGGCGUAAAGAGCGUGUAGGCGGCCAGAUAGGUCCGUUGUGAAAACUCGAGGCUCAACCUCGAGACGCCGAUGGAAACCAUUUGGCUAGAGUCCGGAAGAGGAGAGUGGAAUUCCCAGUGUAGUGGUGAAAUACGCAGAUAUCAGGAAGAACACCUAUGGCGAAGGCAGCUCUCUGGGACGGUACUGACGCUGAGACGCGAAAGCGUGGGGAGCGAACAGG
This 253-nucleotide ribosomal RNA is filed under the name uncultured bacterium. RNAcentral describes it as "partial 16S ribosomal RNA". It matches the Rfam family "Bacterial small subunit ribosomal RNA", at positions 524 to 776 of the family's 1533-position model. The record is from RNAcentral.